UGGGGAAUAUUGCACAAUGGGCGCAAGCCUGAUGCAGCCAUGCCGCGUGUGUGAAGAAGGCCUUCGGGUGGUAAAGCACUUUCAGCGGGGAGGAAGGCGGUGAGGUUAAUAACCUCAUCGAUUGACGUUACCCGCAGAAGAAGCACCGGCUAACUCCGUGCCAGCAGCCGCGGUAAUACGGAGGGUGCAAGCGUUAAUCGGAAUUACUGGGCGUAAAGCGCACGCAGGCGGUCUGUCAAGUCGGAUGUGAAAUCCCCGGGCUCAACCUUGGAACUGCAUUCGAAACUGGCAGGCUAGAGUCUUGUAGAGGGGGGUAGAAUUCCAGGUGUAGCGGUGAAAUGCGUAGAGAUCUGGAGGAAUACCGGUGGCGAAGGCGGCCCCCUGGACAAAGACUGACGCUCAGGUGCGAAAGCGUGGGGAGCAAACAGG
This 429-nucleotide ribosomal RNA is filed under the name Chloroflexota bacterium. RNAcentral's name for it is "Chloroflexi bacterium partial 16S ribosomal RNA". It matches the Rfam family "Bacterial small subunit ribosomal RNA", at positions 355 to 776 of the family's 1533-position model. Lineage: Bacteria; Bacillati; Chloroflexota. The record is from RNAcentral.